UGGGGAAUAUUGGACAAUGGGGGCAACCCUGAUCCAGCCAUGCCGCGUGUGUGAAGAAGGCCUUUUGGUUGUAAAGCACUUUAAGCAGUGAAGAAGACUCCAUGGUUAAUACCCAUGGACGAUGACAUUAGCUGCAGAAUAAGCACCGGCUAACUCUGUGCCAGCAGCCGCGGUAAUACAGAGGGUGCAAGCGUUAAUCGGAAUUACUGGGCGUAAAGCGAGCGUAGGUGGCUUGAUAAGUCAGAUGUGAAAGCCCCGGGCUUAACCUGGGAACGGCAUCUGAUACUGUUAGGCUAGAGUAGGUGAGAGGAAGGUAGAAUUCCAGGUGUAGCGGUGAAAUGCGUAGAGAUCUGGUGGAAUACCGAUGGCGAAGGCAGCCUUCUGGCAUCAUACUGACACUGAGGUUCGAAAGCGUGGGUAGCAAACA
RNAcentral lists this ribosomal RNA (427 nucleotides) under uncultured bacterium. Its description in RNAcentral is "partial 16S ribosomal RNA". It matches the Rfam family "Bacterial small subunit ribosomal RNA", at positions 355 to 774 of the family's 1533-position model. The record is from RNAcentral.